CUACGAAGGGGGCUAGCGUUGUUCGGAAUUACUGGGCGUAAAGCGCGCGUAGGCGGAUUGGUCAGUUAGGGGUGAAAUCCCAGGGCUUAACCCUGGAACUGCCUCUAAUACUGCCAGUCUUGAGUUCGGGAGAGGUGAGUGGAAUUCCUAGUGUAGAGUUGAAAUUCGUAGAUAUUAGGAAGAACACCAGUGGCGAAGGCGGCUCACUGGCCCGAUACUGACGCUGAGGCGCGAAAGCGUGGGGAGCAAACAGGAUUAGAAACCCUAGUAGUCC
This 274-nucleotide ribosomal RNA is filed under the name uncultured bacterium. Its description in RNAcentral is "partial 16S ribosomal RNA". It matches the Rfam family "Bacterial small subunit ribosomal RNA", at positions 523 to 796 of the family's 1533-position model. The record is from RNAcentral.